AAAACCCUGCGAUGUUUGUGAUACCGUUACAAUGUUUUGAGCUAACACUUUUGACUCAGGGAGCUCGACCUCUGUAUGUGGCACAUAUGCCUUGUUCGAUCAAAAGGACAUGUAAAGCAUACAGGAGAGCACCCACCUGUGGGGAGAGAGUUCAAAACAGUGCGGUAGUCACGGCAUGGCGGGGUUUUU
RNAcentral lists this non-coding RNA (189 nucleotides) under Bacillota bacterium. Its description in RNAcentral is "Firmicutes bacterium (anaerobic digester metagenome) 6S RNA". It matches the Rfam family "6S / SsrS RNA". From Rfam's summary of the family: E. coli 6S RNA was the first non coding RNA to be sequenced, but its function was unknown until recently. It consists of 184 nucleotides that fold into an extended hairpin structure with a large single-stranded internal bulge. The 6S RNA specifically associates with RNA polymerase holoenzyme containing the sigma70 specificity factor. Lineage: Bacteria; Bacillati; Bacillota. The record is from RNAcentral.